GACGAACGCUGGCGGCGUGCUUAACACAUGCAAGUCGAGCGGUAAGGCCCUUUCGGGGGUACACGAGCGGCGAACGGGUGAGUAACACGUGGGUGACCUGCCUUUAGCUCUGGGAUAAGCCUGGGAAACCGGGUCUAAUACCGGAUAUGACUCCGCGGCGCAUGUUGUGGGGUGGAAAGCCUUGUGCGGCUGGAGAUGGGCCCGCGGCCUAUCAGCUUGUUGGUGGGGUGAUGGCCACCAAGGCGACGACGGUAGCCGGCCUGAGAGGGCGACCGGCCACACUGGGACUGAGACACGGCCCAGACUCCUACGGGAGGCAGCAGUGGGGAAUCUUGCGCAAUGGGCGAAAGCCUGACGCAGCGACGCCGCGUGAGGGAUGACGGCC
This 385-nucleotide ribosomal RNA is filed under the name uncultured bacterium. RNAcentral's name for it is "bacterial SSU rRNA". It matches the Rfam family "Bacterial small subunit ribosomal RNA", at positions 28 to 416 of the family's 1533-position model. The record is from RNAcentral.